This is a long non-coding RNA of Chrysemys picta bellii (western painted turtle), 645 nucleotides long. RefSeq lists it as uncharacterized. NCBI's taxonomy places the organism in Eukaryota, Metazoa, Chordata, Testudines, Emydidae. The record is from RefSeq and is a predicted model, not a curated record.
UCCUGAAUGCUUGUGAAUUUCCAAGGCGUGCCUAUCUGUGUUACCACCUGAGCACUGUUAAACAGAUGCUGUGUUCCAUCCCCAAUGAUUUGCUUAGCUCACACUCAUGAGCUGGAGAAUAGGAAGACAGGCAGGAAGAUGAUGCAUGGUCUGGACUCAACACUCUGUUUAUGGGACCUUCCUCCUUCCAGUAAACCAUGUGUGUCAGGUUUUGCAGAAGGAACCGAACUAACUUGAGACCAGAGCCUGCCAACCCUUACUUGUACAGCUCUUCAUGCAAAUUUCAGAUGUCUCCCUCUCAGUGGCAACUCAUUGUAUCUCUUUGUAUGAUGCCAGGGCCUUCACAUCAUAUACAGGAUAAGAAACACCGGACCUUAUUUUCCCUACUUCCAAUAUCAUUCAUUUUUGUAAAAUAUCUGUAAUUAUCAGCUAAAACUUUUUUUCAUAUGUGUAAAAUCAUAACCAUUACAAAACAGAGAACUUUUCUAUACCAUAGUAGUGGAACAGAUUAGAAUGGAGUUUGUGUUGUCAUAUAGAUAAGCUAGAUAAGUUUAUGGAGGGAAUGGUUUGAUGGGAUAACGUGAUUUUAGUCAAUUGGUCAACAACAUGCCCACGUUGGUAAAUAGUAUCAAUGGUCAAUGAGGG